UCGGGAAUUUUGGGCAAUGGGCGAAAGCCUGACCGAGCGAUGCCGCGUGCGGGAUGAAGGCCUUCGGGUUGUAAACCGCUGUCGUAGGGGAGAAAGGGUCGUUGAAGAAACGACUUUGAUCUAUCCUAGGAGGAAGUCCGGGCUAAGUUCGUGCCAGCAGCCGCGGUAACACGAACCGGACAAACGUUAUUCGGAAUUACUGGGCUUAAAGGGUGCGUAGGCGGUGCGGUAAGUGCGGUGUGAAAUCCCACGGCUCAACCGUGGAAUUGCGCUGCAUACUGCCGUGCUAGAGGGAGACAGGGGUAAGCGGAACUGAUGGUGGAGCGGUGAAAUGCGUUGAUAUCAUCAGGAACACCGGUGGCGAAAGCGGCUUACUGGGUCUCUUCUGACGCUGAGGCACGAAAGCUAGGGUAGCGAACGGGAUUAGAUACCCCAGUAGUCCCUGAGCGGGCUGGCAAGGCGCAU
Molecule: ribosomal RNA, 465 nt
Filed under: uncultured bacterium
Lineage: Bacteria
Description: bacterial SSU rRNA
Rfam family: Bacterial small subunit ribosomal RNA
Source: RNAcentral